Molecule: ribosomal RNA, 253 nt
Filed under: uncultured bacterium
Lineage: Bacteria
Description: partial 16S ribosomal RNA
Rfam family: Bacterial small subunit ribosomal RNA
Source: RNAcentral
UACGUAGGGUGCGAGCGUUAAUCGGAAUUACUGGGCGUAAAGCGUGCGCAGGCGGCGCGUUAAGACAGGUGUGAAAGCCCCGAGCUUAACUUGGGAAUUGCGCUUGUGACUGGCGUGCUGGAGUGUGGCAGAGGGAGGUGGAAUUCCACGUGUAGCAGUGACAUGCGUAGAGAUGUGGAGGAACACCGAUGGCGAAGGCAGCCUCCUGGGCCAGCACUGACGCUCAUGCACGAAAGCGUGGGGAGCAAACAGG